UACGUUAUCAUGAGACAUUGUUUAAACAUUAUUGCAAUUGUUGUUUAGGUUAUGUUGUUCAAUGCUAUCUAUGAAUGUUGAUUGUUGAAUACACCAGGACAUCUCCGCCCCGGAGUGUGAGAGUGAUGUAUGCACAGGGGAUUGUCGCUCUGUUUCCAUAUCUUGAAGACCCAUCUUCACAGAAUGGCUAUGAUCAUUACUACGAUCCUGAAAGGGGUUCAGGAUACCUUGCAUGGCGGUUGAAGACUAUUCAAAGAAAAGCUGCAGAGGAAAGAGGUCCAGCAGUUAGUAGAUCUCCUAAAGUUGGUGGUCCAGGCCAUGGGCGUACUAGACCCUUUACUGCCGACCAAGUCCUGACUGACGAGGAAGUGGAAUCCGCUAUCGCUGUGUUGAGACACACUGCUGAUGAGUACACCAUCCGUGAG
Long non-coding RNA from Eleginops maclovinus (Patagonian blennie), 425 nucleotides. RefSeq lists it as uncharacterized. The transcript is spliced from 3 exons. The record is from RefSeq and is a predicted model, not a curated record. NCBI's taxonomy places the organism in Eukaryota, Metazoa, Chordata, Actinopteri, Perciformes, Eleginopidae.